This 494-nucleotide ribosomal RNA is filed under the name uncultured bacterium. Its description in RNAcentral is "partial 16S ribosomal RNA". It matches the Rfam family "Bacterial small subunit ribosomal RNA", at positions 28 to 507 of the family's 1533-position model. The record is from RNAcentral.
GACGAACGCUGGCGGCGUGCUUAACACAUGCAAGUCGAACGGUGAAGCGCCUUCCUUUUUGGUGGGUGUGGAUGAGUGGCGAACGGGUGAGUAACACGUGAGUAACCUGCCCCCUUCUUCUGGAUAACCGCAUGAAAGUGUGGCUAAUACGGGAUAUUCUGGGUCUGUCGCAUGAUGGGUCUGGGAAAGAUAUUGUUUCGGUUGGGGAUGGGCUCGCGGCCUAUCAGCUUGUUGGUGGGGUGAUGGCCUACCAAGGCGGUGACGGGUAGCCGGCCUGAGAGGGUGGACCGUCACAGUGGGACUGAGACGCGGCAGAGACUCAUGCGGGGGGCAGCAGUGGAGAAUAGUACACAAUGGGCGAACGUCUGAUGCAGCGACGCCGCGGGAGAGAUGGAGGCCUGCGGGUUGUAAACCUCUUGCGCGGAAGAAGAAGGCCUGCCUUGAUUGUGCGUGGGUUGACGGUAGCUGGAUAAGAAGCGACGGCUAACUACGUG